This 433-nucleotide ribosomal RNA is filed under the name uncultured bacterium. RNAcentral's name for it is "partial 16S ribosomal RNA". It matches the Rfam family "Bacterial small subunit ribosomal RNA", at positions 29 to 507 of the family's 1533-position model. The record is from RNAcentral.
AACGAACGCUGGCGGCAUGCCUAACACAUGCAAGUCGAACGAGACCUUCGGGUCUCGUGGCGCACGGGUGCGUAACGCGUGGGAACCUGCCCUUAGGUUCGGAAUAACUCCCCGAAAGGGGUGCUAAUACCGGUUACUGUCUUCGGACCAAAGAUUUAGCGCCUUUGGAUGGGCCCGCGUUGGAUUAGCUAGUUGGUAGGGUAAAAGCCUACCAAGGCGACGAUCCAUAGCUGGUCUGAGAGGAUGAUCAGCCACACUGGGACUGAGACACGGCCCAGACUCCUACGGGAGGCAGCAGUGGGGAAUAUUGGACAAUGGGCGAAAGCCUGAUCCAGCAAUGCCGCGUGAGUGAUGAAGGCCUUAGGGUUGUAAAGCUCUUUUACCCGGGAUGAUAAUGACAGUACCGGGAGAAUAAGCUCCGGCUAACUCCGUG